Molecule: ribosomal RNA, 437 nt
Filed under: uncultured bacterium
Lineage: Bacteria
Description: bacterial SSU rRNA
Rfam family: Bacterial small subunit ribosomal RNA
Source: RNAcentral
GACGAACGCUGGCGGCGUGCCUAACACAUGCAAGUCGAACGAGGUCCAUCCUUCGGGAGAAGACCUAGUGGCGAACGGGUGAGUAACACGUGAGGAACCUGCCCCGAAGACCGGGAUAACCCUCCGAAAGGAGAGCUAAUACCGGGAUACCCCCACCGAACCGCAUGGUUUGGUGAGGAAAUGGAUUCCGCUUCGGGAGGGCCUCGCGGCCUAUCAGCUAGUUGGUGGGGUAACGGCCCACCAAGGCAUCGACGGGUAGCUGGUCUGAGAGGACGAUCAGCCACACUGGGACUGAGACACGGCCCAGACUCCUACGGGAGGCAGCAGUGGGGAAUCUUGCGCAAUGGGCGAAAGCCUGACGCAGCAACGCCGCGUGGGGGAUGGAAGGCUCUCGGGUGUAAACCCCUUUCAGCAGGGACGAAUCAAGACGGUACCUG